Molecule: non-coding RNA, 6335 nt
Organism: Ictidomys tridecemlineatus (thirteen-lined ground squirrel)
Lineage: Eukaryota; Metazoa; Chordata; Mammalia; Rodentia; Sciuridae
Source: RefSeq, a predicted model, not a curated record
CCCUCUGACUCCCAAGUGGAACCGGCAUCUUUGAGUGGAUGCAGGAAUCUGAUCUUGCAACAGGCCCUGGAUAAGCCCUAGGAGCCCGAGGAAGGAGCCAAGAGUGGCUGCACUUGUGUAAUCCCACACAAGUGUCAAUAUCGGUUGCCAAAUACUGAGGCGAAGCCGGUUCCAGCUGAUCACCAUAAAUGCUUUCCCAGCCCCCCUCCCCCCGAGGCAGGGCUGCCUGAUAAAUGUGCGCAGAGGAUGCGCGAGUCGCCUGCGGGACCGGGGCUGUCUAGAAGAGCCGCUGUCGGUGGACAGUGGGUUCGCUGUUCUGCUGAGGCUGAGCAGUGGCCGAGCAGCUGACUUCAUUGGAAAACAAUAUUUUGAAAGGCGCUCGGUUUCCAUGUCAGUGACCUGCUCAGGGAGGCGCUGGCUCUGGGCCAGCUGUGGCCGCGGGGAGCUUCCUGUGAGCCCAGGAGCCCGGAGCAGCGGCAGCAUGUCCCCUGGCCGGCUGUGGUCUGGCCUGCUGGCCGUGCUGGCCCUCCUCUGCCCGACAGCUUCUUCGUGUGGCCUGUCAACCCACGUGGAGAUAGGUCACAGAGCUCUGGAGUUUCUCCGCCUUCAUGAGGGUCACGUAGACUACAGAAAGCUGUUACUGGAACACCAGGAUGCGUAUCAGGCUGGGACCGUGUUUCCCGAUUCCUUUUACCCCAGCUUCUGCAAAGGAGGAAAAUACCAUGACGUGUCUGAGAGCACUCACUGGACUCCAUUCCUUAAUGCAAGCGUCCAUUAUAUCCGCGAGAACUACCCGCUGCCCUGGGAGAAGGACACAGAGAAAUUGGUGGCUUUCUUGUUUGGAAUCACCUCGCACAUGGUGGCAGACGUCAGCUGGCACAGUCUGGGCAUUGAACAAGGGUUCCUCAGGACCAUGAGCGCUAUGGACUUUCACGGCUCCUACCCUGAGGCCCACUCCGCUGGAGACUUUGGAGGAGAUGUGCUGAGUCAGUUUGAAUUCAAUUAUAAUUACCUCGCGCGGCGCUGGUAUGUGCCCAUCAAAGAUCUACUGGGAAUUUAUGAGAAACUUUAUGGCAGAGAAGUCAUUACCAAAAAUGUCAUCAUUGAUUGUACGUACCUUCAGUUCUUAGAAAUGUAUGGAGAGGUGUUAGCCGUUUCCAAGCUUUAUUCUACGUACUCUACAAAGUCCCCAUUUCUGGUGGAACAGUUCCAGGAGUAUUUCCUUGGAGGACUGGAUGACAUGGUGUUCUGGUCCACCAAUAUCUACCGGCUCACGAGCUUCAUGCUGGAGAAUGGGACCAGUGCCUGCGACCUGCCGGAGAACCCUCUGUUCAUCGCAUGUGGUGGCCAGCAAAACCACAGCCACGCGGCAAAAGUGCAGAAGAUUGACUUUCACAGGAACGUGACGGCGCCCAGAACUAAGGGUCUUGGAAGAAACAUCAACUACACUGAGAGGGGCGUGGUCUUCAGUGUGGACACCUGGACCCCGGAUUCCAUGUCCUUCAUGUACCAGGCCUUGGAGAGGAACCUGCGGACCGUGUUCAUGGCCAGCUCUCAGGAGCCCCUGAAGCACAUCUCCAGCCCCUUGGCAUCGUACUUCACGUCCGUCCCCUACGCGAGGCUGGGCUGGGCCAUGGCCUCUGCGGACCUCAACCAGGAUGGGUACCGCGACCUUGUGGUGGGGGUACCCGGCUACAGCCGCCCCGGCCACUUCCAGCUUGGGCGUGUGUACCUCGUCUACGGCAACGACCUGGGUCUACCCCCCACUGACCUGGACCUGGACACGGAGGCCAGCGGGAGCCUGGAGGGCUUCCAGCCCUCAGGUCGCUUUGGCUCAGCCGUGGCCGUGUUGGAUUUUAACCAGGACGGGGUUCCGGACUUGGCUGUGGGAGCACCCUCUGUGGGCUCUGAGCAGCUCACAUACAAAGGUGCAGUGUAUGUCUACUUUGGUUCCAAAAAAGGAAGACUGAAUUCUCCCCCUAACAUCACCAUCUCCUGCCAGGACACCUACUGCAACCUGGGCUGGACACUCCUCGCUGCAGAUGUGAAUGGAGACAGUGAGCCCGACCUAGUGAUUGGCUCCCCCUUUGCACCGGGUGGAGGAAGGCAGAAGGGAAUCGUGGCUGCCUUUUAUUCUGGCCCCUGCCAGAGCAACCAAGAGCAGCUAAACGUGGAGGCGGCCGACUGGAUGGUGAGCGGUGAGGAGGACUUUGCCUGGUUUGGAUAUGCCCUCCACAGUGUCAGGGUGGACAGCAGAACCUUGCUGCUGGUGGGGAGCCCCACGUGGAGGAACGUCAGCAGGCUGGACCAUGCGUCCCACAGCCACGACAAGCAGAGCCUUGGCAGGGUGUACGGCUACCUCCCCCCAGAUCGCCAGAGCAGGUUUAUCAUUUCUGGUGACAAGGCAAUGGGGAAGCUGGGCACGUCAUUGUCAAGUGGCCACGUGAUGGUGAACGGGAACCGUACCCAAGUGCUGCUGGUGGGAGCCCCGACUCACGAUGAUGUGUCUAAGAUGGCAUUCCUGACCAUGACCCUGCACCAGGGUGGAGCCACCCGGGUGUAUGCGCUGACCCUGGACAUGCAGCCUUCUCUGCUCAGCACCUACAGUGGAGACCGUCGCUUCUCUCGCUUUGGUGGAGUUCUGCACUUGAGUGACCUGGAUAACGAUGGCUUAGAUGAAAUCAUCCUGGCAGCCCCGCUGAGGAUAACAGAUGUAACCUCUGGGCUGCUUGGGGGAGAAGAUGGACGGGUCUAUAUAUACAAUGGCAAACAGACCACCCUUGGUGACGUAACAGGCAAAUGCAAAUCAUGGAUAACUCCUUGCCCAGAAGAAAAGGCCCAAUAUGUAUUGAUUUCUCCUGAGGCAAGUUCAAGGUUUGGGAGCUCUCUGAUGGCUGUGAGGUCAAAGGAGAAGGUAAGUGUAUGGACUGCACUUCUCUGAUGCUUAUAUCUGUUCUAAGGCCAGGAUUUGGUGAUCUUCAACAACUUUAGAUUUUAUUUUUAUUUGAAAAUUAGCACAAAGGUAGCACUCACAUAAUCUCAUUGUUUUUGAAUGAAAAGUUCCCCUUCUUACUCCUAUUUUAUUCCCUACGGCAGAGGCUGUUGGUAUACUAUAGCCCACUCCCUGUUCUAGAGUAGCCAUUAACUAAAAUGGUCAUUAUGUGUUUAAAUAGCUGAAAAAUAUUAUUAUGACAUGUGAAAUUGAUAUGAAGUUAAAACCCAUGCCCAUGAAGUUUCACUGGAACUUAGCCAUACUCAUUCAUCCAUGGCUAUGCUACAGUGGUAACUUCAGAGACUGAUGUCUCACAAAGUCUAAAUUAUUUAUUAUCUGGCUUGUCACAGAAAAUUUGCUGAUGCUUGUCCUACUGGAAAACCAUUGUUCGUAUUUUAUUUUCUUCCAGACUUGCAGCUCUUAAGUGACUCUAGAGACAGACACAUGCAGGGCUACUGUUUCAUUUUUAUGUACUGUUUGAUGUCUUCCCAGAGAAGUACCUGAGCUACCUGCUCCUUUCCUGUUCUUAAUAGCUACCUAGUAUUUUGUUGUCUGAAUUUAUCAUAUUUCAGUUCUCCAGUUCAGAUUCUCUGAUAUUUAGGUCAUUUCUUUUUUGGUUUCUUGAUUCUUGAAUCUGUAUUUUCAUAUAACUGCAAAUAUUCUUGUAAGCAACAAUCACUAAAUGAAAGGUGUAUACAUUUAAAAUUAGUAGAUGUAGUAGAUUUAAGAGUCUUACCUUAAUUUAUACCUCUAAACCACUAAUUGCAUGUGUAUGAUACUGUGUAGAGCUGUGCUAGACUAUUAAAUAUAAGCAAAGUCUCUGGUUUUGAAAAAUAACAUAUACAUGAGAAAUUGAAUAAAAUGCAAACUGGUGUAGGAUUAAACACUGCAGAGCAGAGUGAACAGGAAGCAUUAACUGGGAAGAAGGUCUGGGAGGCCUCAGACUUUAAGGACUUGGCAGGCCCUGAGCCAGGAUCCUGCCCCCAAGGAGCAUGGUGAAACCGCCCUCCAGUGGCCAGCACUGCAGGCUGGCUCACUUACAGCCAUGCCUCUCAGCAAAGGUUCAGGCUGAGCACUACACAAACAUGGAUUAAGCUUAUGGAAAGAUUCUUGAAACAAUACUUUAUCAUAAGUUUGGAUUUUAUUUAAAAUUUAAUGCAUUUCAUUAACACCAUUAAUAAUUAGAUAUUAAUUAAUCCAUGCAUUUGAUUAACUGGUAGCAACAAACCAGAAUGCGGAGGCCUUAACACUUACCCAGGUGGUGCUGCCCGCAUCUGUAUUCUGAAACUUCUCAGGAGGUGCCAGAGCAGAACUCACGGAUGGACCGUGAGCACCAGAGGUGGACAAGAGAACCCGAGGCCCAGUCCCCAGGACCUUAUAAACCAGCUUGUCAUUGCUGCUGGAAGGAGUUCUCUGGGAGCCCGGCUUGCGGGGGCACUUCAUGUCUACAGCCUCAGCUCAGAUUAGAGAUUUCACUCCAUCUUCCUCCUCUGCUCGCUCCUCUCGUGUGUGGAAUCAUCUCCAGGGUGAGAGCUCUGGUGGACCAGCUGAAGUGGGCCAAGGUGGACCCUGAUGGUGGGGUCCUGGGAGCAGAGCCGAGCACCAACAGCCAGGCCAUCUGGAAGCAAGGAACAGUAAACCACGUGCCUCCACCAGAAGCGGUGAACCAGGAAGCACUCUAGCCGUGCACGCCGUGUCCUCAAGCUCACUUCCUUGGCACCUAAGUCUCUCUUCCUAGCUGACUGCGUAUGCUCCGACUACCAUACAGACUCCUUCCCCUUCCAUUUGAACACCUAAUCCUUGUAUAAAGGUUCUCCGUGGUUUUCUCUGAGGACAAUCUCUACACAAUUCCUCCUAAACAAAACAACCUCCCCACUCCACCCUGCAAACCCUUUUGUUAGUGGACAAUUCCAAUUAAAACAAAUAACAUACAGGAAAAAAGGAGGAGAAAAAGUAGAGAUGAGUACAGGUGUGAGGGAUAACUCACACUCCCAAAUUACUAGUGAGUUGGUCCUUUCCAGCCCAUUACAUCCCAUCCUACAUAUAGGACACAUAUAAGACUGCUUGAUUUGUUUUCAUAGGUGUCUUAUUUAGAAUGAUUGCACAUAAGGGGUUACUGAGGAUUAAUGCAUUUUCCAUGUUUUCUAUAGUGAAAGAUCAACAUAACAAAGCUUAUGUUGUGCCCUCAAAUGCUUUUGCAGAUGGUUGUUCUGACAGGUGACAAGCCAUGAAUCUGCUAGUGUGAAAUCAACGAGGGGCUUUGCUGUGCUAGCCUGCUAUGUUACACCAUAGGACUAGAACAGAAAAUAAGUCCAUCCUGAGCCAAAGGCUACUGUGAGGGACCAUAAAGAAGGAUGUGGGCCUUGGCUUCACUUGUCCUUGUGCUGUUCUUAAUAGGGUGGAUUUUCUCGUGAGUCCCGAGCAGGGCACACACAAGGGAUAGGGUUAGUCACAGGAGUUACUAUCUGUAAACAAUAACUGCUUUGUGUUAAUUGGUGGAGAUGUUCUUCUGAUAAUGGUAAAUGAAAAAAAAAACAGGAGAAAAUACAUGAAAAGAGCCUUUCUCAUCUCAGCUUCUCUGGAGAGACAGGAAGAAGAAUCCUAAUGGGAAGUCAGAAACCAAAGGAACGGCUGUGGCCAAGAUGUGAGCAGAGGGCCGGUGACCACAGGAAAGUGGGGCAAACGGGCAUGCACCCAGAGGGCACCUCUGGCCUGCACCUGGAGCCCCAUCAUUUUUCUGAGUUGUGCUGGCCACAUGGCUUCCUAUGGCACAGCAAAAAGCACACAGAAAUAACAUUUAGUUUGUUUGGCUAGUAAUCUGGCAGCUCAACCUCUUUGAAUAAUUUUUAAUUAAAAGUAAGGUGAUUUGUAGGGGACUGGAAAUUGCUUAUUCACUUUGAGCUGAGAGGUCUGAGUGUAGAACAAACUCAGAUGACAUCUGACACUGCAUUCAGGAAAAGUUUUUCUCAGUAUUAGAUCUUUUAAAGAUGAAUCUUUCUAUUGCCAUUAUUAUGUAAGUAUCAGUGUUUUUGUGCUUCACUAAACGACUGCCCGUGUUUAAACACAGUGACUCUCUACCCGAAAGAAUCUAUUUUUCUCAGUGUCUGAACACAGCACAGAUAGUAAGCACCAGGUGAAGAAAGUUAAAAAUCUUUAAAGAUGGAAGCAUUUUUCAAGGUUGGAGAACAUUUAGCCAAUUAACCUCAUUGUCAAAAACUAUAUAAAUACCUACUGUUGAAGGUCAACCUGAAUAUCAAAUUUGUCAAAAACUUGGCCUUUGGAAAAAAACUGUCAGUAACGUAUCAUCCUAAAGAGGUAGAUUAAAUUUUCAUCCCACUAUUAA